UGAGAUGGGAGAGGUUGGAGGGGAGAGUUAUGAGGGCAGUGAGAUGUGAGAGGUUGGAGUGGAGUGAGAUGGGAGAGGUUGGAGGGGAGAGUAAUGAGGGCAGUGAGAUGGGAGAGGUUGGAGGGGAGUGAGAUGGGAGAGGUUGGAGGGGAGAGUUAUGAGGGCAGUGAGAUGGGAGAGGUUGGAGGGGAGAGUUAUGAGGGCAGUGAGAUGUGAGAGGUUGGAGGGGAGUGAGAUGGGAGAGGUUGGAGGGGAGAGUUAUGAGGGCAGUGAGAUGUGAGAGGUUGGAGGGCAGUGAGAUGGGAGAGGUUGGAGGGGAGAGUUAUGAGGGCAGUGAGAUGUGAGAGGUUGGAGUGGAGUGAGAUGGGAGAGGUUGGAGGGGAGAGUAAUGAGGGCAGUGAGAUGGGAGAGGUUGGAGGGGAGUGAGAUGGGAGAGGUUGGAGGGGAGAGUUAUGAGGGCAGUGAGAUGGGAGAGGUUGGAGGGGAGAGUUAUGAGGGCAGUGAGAUGUGAGAGGUUGGAGGGGAGUGAGAUGGGAGAGGUUGAAGAGGAGUGAGACGGGAGUGGUUGAAGGGGAGUGAGACGGGAGAGGUUGGAGGGGAGAGUUAUGAGGGCAGUGAGACGGGAGAGGUUGGAGGGGAGUGAGACGGGAGUGGUUGGAGGGGAGUGAGACGGGAGAGGUUGGAGGGGAGAGUUAUGAGGGCAGUGAGAUGGGAGAGGUUGGAGGGGAGUGAGACAGGAGUGGUUGGAGGGGAGUGAGACGGGAGAGGUUGGAGAGGAGUGAGAUGGGAGAGUUUUGAGGGCAGUGAGACAGGAGAGGUUGGAGGGGAGUGAGACGGGAGAGGUUGAAGAGGAGUGAGAUGGGAGUGGUUGAAGAGGAGUGAAAUGGGAGAGGUUGGAGGGGAGUGAGUGAGACGGGAGAGGUUGGAGAGGAGUGAGAUGGGAGAGGUUGGAGGGGAGUGAGACGGGAGAGGUUGGAGGGGAGUGAGAUGGGAGAGGUUGAAGGGGAGUGAGACGGGAGAGGUUGAAGAGGAGUGAGAUGGGAGAGGUUGGAGGGGAGUGAGAUGGGAGAGGUUGAAGAGGAGUGAGAUGGGAGAGGUUGGAGGGGAGUGAGAUGGGAGAGGUUGGAGGGGAGAGAGACGGGAAAGGUUGAAGAGGAGUGAGACGGGAGAGGUUGGAGGGGAGUGAGACGGGAGAGGUUGAAGAGGAGUGAGACAGGAGUGGUUGGAGGGGAGAGUUAUGAGGGCAGUGAGAUGUGAGAGGUUGGAGGGGAGUGAGAUGGGAGAGGUUGAAGAGGAGUGAGACGGGAGUGGUUGGAGGGGAGUGAGACGGGAGAGGUUGAAGAGGAGUGAGACGGGAGUGGUUGAAGGGGAGUGAGACGGGAGAGGUUGAAGAGGAGUGAGACAGGAGUGGUUGGAGGGGAGAGUUAUGAGGGCAGUGAGAUGUGAGAGGUUGGAGGGGAGUGAGAUGGGAGAGGUUGGAGGGGAGUGAGACGGGAGAGGUUGGAGGGGAGAGAGACAGGAGAGGUUGGAGGGGAGUGAGA
Molecule: long non-coding RNA, 1541 nt
Organism: Oncorhynchus keta (chum salmon)
Lineage: Eukaryota; Metazoa; Chordata; Actinopteri; Salmoniformes; Salmonidae
Exons: 4
Source: RefSeq, a predicted model, not a curated record